Molecule: long non-coding RNA, 1188 nt
Organism: Dermochelys coriacea (leatherback sea turtle)
Lineage: Eukaryota; Metazoa; Chordata; Testudines; Dermochelyidae
Exons: 3
Source: RefSeq, a predicted model, not a curated record
ACAAACUUUGGAAGGGGGGGGCUCUGCACUAGGUCUCAUUUUGUGUGGCUUGGUAGGUUAAAUAACAGUCAGCUGAUAGCAGAGCUGUUCCUAUUUAAAAAGAAGCCAGCAUAUGGUAACCUGGACAGCCAAAAUUGGACACAGCAUUAGAACAUAAGGAUGUGAGGGUCUCUUUAGAAAAAGAUGGUCUUCAGAGAAAUGCAUGAACCUUUUUAGAUAAGGUUUUCUGCUUCCAAAGGAGGAGACAAGAAUUGAGCUCAAACUACCUCUACUCCAUGAGUGGCUUUCUUAGAGAUGCUGUGCAUCGCGUCUGUGAAGAUAUUUUUGCCAGCUGUAUGGUGAUGGGGUUCCAUCCAUCAAGACUCAUUCCAUCCAGGAAAAAGAAAUACACUGAAAGCACAAAUACCACAAGCUGCUGGACAGACCCAAAACACCAUGACUUCAAUGGAACAUUCAGAUGUUCAGCACUGCGAUGCUGUCUGAUUGAGAAUGACCCUUUGUAUCAUUGUUCUACAGAUGCAACAAAUCUUAUACAAAGUAUAUCAUGUAAAGUGUCAAUGAAAAAGUUACAGUCUAUCAAAUAUCAUUAUGCUGGUUAAAUCCAUGUAUCAUCACUCUAGCUGAAGUUUUGAAUAUUAGCUAUAUAUCUGUAACUCAAAUGUGUUUAUUCCUGAAGUAACACCUAGAAGGUAGUUUACAUCCAGUCUUCCCAGCCCAUUGUGAAUGGCCUAUUCAAGAUUGAUUAAGAAGAAUCAGUUUUCCAGACACCUCUUCCUGUGGAUGCAUCAGCAAGAAUAUGGCCAACGGCUGCCCCUCUGAGUCUUUAAAGCAUGUAAGGACACGUGAUGUGCUCAUGUGACUCCUGGACUCCAUUUUAGCUCAAUAACUUUUCCACAAACAGAGAUGGUAAAUUUCCAGGCACAUGGCAAAGGAUAUAAAAGGCCCCCGAGGUUUUUCCACUUUGCCUCUUUCCUGCCCUGAUUUACAACUAAAAGGGGCCUUUUGAACUAUGGACUGAGGACCUUCCAAUCUUUUGGAAGUUACCAGAGAGACUUUACAAGCUAGCAGACUAUUCCAUCACUGCUACAAACCUGAUAUAAGGACUUUGCAAUUAUUUGUAUGCAUAUGAUCUGUUAACCAUUUAUAAUUCUCUCCUUUUUGCAUUUUAUUAUUAAACCUUUAGAUUUU